Aedes albopictus (Asian tiger mosquito) is the source of this 2298-nucleotide RNA transcript. RefSeq lists it as uncharacterized. Lineage: Eukaryota; Metazoa; Arthropoda; Insecta; Diptera; Culicidae. The transcript is spliced from 3 exons. The record is from RefSeq and is a predicted model, not a curated record.
CGUGUUUUUUGGUUUGCGUAACCGGCCGCCAGGUGGCAGCUCCGUCGCAAAGAUGCUAGAAAAGUUGGCACAUCUGUUCGUUGACGUUUGGAUUUUGCUUCCGUUUGUCUGUCAUCGCGUCGACAGGCAGCAGCUUGGCUCAUGUCUGUUUUUCUUCUGUGCUGGUGUUGUGUGGCGGUGACGACGCCGCCGGUGGUAAUUAAUCACCAUCGGCGGAGAAAAUUACGGAGAAUAAUUCCUGAUUUGUUGUUCGGGAACCGGACCGCCUUCCCCCUGGCACCCGACGUGGGUAACCGGGUGUGGAAAAGCGAUUUCCGAGUUACGAAUUGUGGCCAGGAAGGUGCGGAAGAGUAGGUAGCGGGGCGGAUUCGGGAUUUUUUGGCUUCCAUGCGGUGGCCUUUUUGUGUUGGGUGGGAGGGUGAAAUGGUUCCCAAGCGUAGUUCCGUAGUGUCCCCCGGGGGAACGAAGAUAGGCUUCCGGCCAUUCGGGCUCUAGGCCUUUACGGUGUGUUUUUCGUGUUUGCGUGCGUUGUGCCAUAGAGUCCCUCGGGGGAACGAAAAGAGGCUUCCGGCCAACCGGGCUCUAGGCCUUCACGGGGUGUUUUCGCGUUUUUGUUCGAGAAGUUCGUUAUCGUUGUGCCGUAGAGUCCCCCGGGGGAACGAAACAGGCUUCCGGCCAAUCGGGCUCUAGGCCUUAACGGAGUGUUUAUUCGCGUUUGCGUGCGUUGUACCGUAGAGUCCCUCGGGGGAACGAAGAAGGCUUCCGGCCAACCGGGCUUUAGGCCUUUACGGGAUGUUUUCGAUCGUUGCUGCACGGAGCUCCCCGGGGAGACGAAGACUAGUGAUUUCGUCAGAGCCCAAGAGCCUCCCGGGAGGACGAAGUUGUGUGUGGGAUGGUUUUACUGGGUAAUAAACUGUACGACGCUCGAACCGCCCCGCUACUGCUUGAAUCCCGCUGCUCCCACCCCUGGCACCCUGGAACGGGUCCGCCACGCGGGGGAGACGACGCUGGAGCAUUGGAGGAACUCCCACCCUUGGCACCCUGGGGACGGGUCCGCCACGCAGGGGAGAAAGGCGGGGCACCCCGCCGUUUGGAUCUUGAAGGUUCCGGGCCUGAUACGUUCCAGAGAGAGACUUGCGACUGGCAACUCCCACCCCUGGCACCCUGGGACGGGUCCGCCACGCGGGGGAAAAGGUCAUCCUUCUUCGUAGAGGAGUACACCGCAGCGAUCAGGUGCGUGCUCCCGCCCCUGGCAUCCUGGACGGACGGGUCCGCCAUGCGGGGAAGAAGGGCGAGAGGCCACAAUGUUGGAUGUAAGGAGCGAUUAACCGAAGUAUGGUGAUUGAACGUGUUUACACCCCUGGCUCCCCGGAUGGACGGGUCCGCCGCCCGGUGGGGUAGGAGGAGGUUUCUACGUGGCCGUGCUUCGUCAACUUUUCGGCCACUGGUACCCUGGAGACGGGUCCACCAGAGGCUGCUGCCUUCGUUUGACGUUCCUGAGGUGCUGAUUGUGGCCCAGGGGGUCUGUACCCUCCUGCGUCACGGAGGCCGCCAGUCCCUGUCAGAAGACAGUAGGGGCUGUAACGGCGGUCACAGGUACUGGAUGUUAAAAGGGCCGGAUGAUAACGGGCAAAUGGAGGAAGACGGACAGUGAUGGAACAACCGAUAGAUGAUGCCCUGUCGAUCGGAAGUCACGCGCUGGUAGUAUUUGGGUGAGUCCUUUCAAGAUGUGGGUCGGGUAACUUUUUGUUUGUUGUUUGGGGUGGGUCUCUCCCCCCGGUCUUCCACCUCGGGGGUGCCCACCUCGUUGAGUAUUCUGUCGGUCCAUCCCCUGGCACCCUUGUGCGGGUCCGCCUACGCGGGAGACUGAAAAACUAUUUUUUGUGGGCUUGGUGCUCUUGUACGAGUUUUUCAAGGUGGGAUCCCACCCCUGGCACCCUUGUCUGGGUCCGCCUACGCGGGGGAUUGUUGAGAUAGACAAAAAGUCUCGGUUGUGCGUGGUGUUUUCGGUAGCUCCCACCCCUGGCACCCUGGUUCGGGUCCGCCACGCGGGGGAGAUGUAACCGAUCAUCUUGUGUGGGUAUUGGGCCGAGUGCCCCGAUUCGGAUUGACGCUGCCGACGACUCCCACCCCUGGCACCGUCCAGGUCCGCCACGCGGGGGAAAAAAAUAAAACUUCGACCGUGCAAGUGUGGAAAAGCGAUUUGGUGAUCUUGACACCGGCGUAGAUUUGGGACUUACAGCCUGGGUUGUGGAGAGCGAUUCGAGUCGUGUUAAGAUGCCGGAGGGUAAUGACAAU